AGUCCACUUAAGCCUUGCUUAGUAUUGGGAAUCUACCGAGGCUACCCUGUAGCUACCCUGUAGUUCCUUAAAGACAUCGGCGGAGUUGUGAUAUCUCUGAGCUUAGUAAAUACUCGAAGCUUCUGGGCCGUCACAUCCCCUGCCGUUAAACCUUCUGCUUCUGUAGAAUUUUAAU
This 175-nucleotide unclassified non-coding RNA is filed under the name uncultured Xylariales. RNAcentral's name for it is "sequence contains ITS2". Lineage: Eukaryota; Fungi; Ascomycota; Sordariomycetes; Xylariales. The record is from RNAcentral.